GGGUGUUUGGCCGAGUGGUUAAGGCGCUGUGUUUAGGCGAUCCAGGCUCUGUCUGGAUGCUUGAAUCCCGCAGUGGGAAACCGCGCAGGUUCGAAUCCUGCAGCACUCA
Non-coding RNA from Xylaria curta, 109 nucleotides. The record is from the annotation of a GenBank genome assembly. Lineage: Eukaryota; Fungi; Ascomycota; Sordariomycetes; Xylariales; Xylariaceae.